This 1467-nucleotide ribosomal RNA is filed under the name Leuconostoc mesenteroides subsp. mesenteroides. Its description in RNAcentral is "bacterial SSU rRNA". It matches the Rfam family "Bacterial small subunit ribosomal RNA". The record is from RNAcentral. Lineage: Bacteria; Bacillati; Bacillota; Bacilli; Lactobacillales; Lactobacillaceae.
ACGCUGGCGGCGUGCCUAAUACAUGCAAGUCGAACGCACAGCGAAAGGUGCUUGCACCUUUCAAGUGAGUGGCGAACGGGUGAGUAACACGUGGACAACCUGCCUCAAGGCUGGGGAUAACAUUUGGAAACAGAUGCUAAUACCGAAUAAAACUUAGUGUCGCAUGACACAAAGUUAAAAGGCGCUUCGGCGUCACCUAGAGAUGGAUCCGCGGUGCAUUAGUUAGUUGGUGGGGUAAAGGCCUACCAAGACAAUGAUGCAUAGCCGAGUUGAGAGACUGAUCGGCCACAUUGGGACUGAGACACGGCCCAAACUCCUACGGGAGGCUGCAGUAGGGAAUCUUCCACAAUGGGCGAAAGCCUGAUGGAGCAACGCCGCGUGUGUGAUGAAGGCUUUCGGGUCGUAAAGCACUGUUGUAUGGGAAGAACAGCUAGAAUAGGAAAUGAUUUUAGUUUGACGGUACCAUACCAGAAAGGGACGGCUAAAUACGUGCCAGCAGCCGCGGUAAUACGUAUGUCCCGAGCGUUAUCCGGAUUUAUUGGGCGUAAAGCGAGCGCAGACGGUUUAUUAAGUCUGAUGUGAAAGCCCGGAGCUCAACUCCGGAAUGGCAUUGGAAACUGGUUAACUUGAGUGCAGUAGAGGUAAGUGGAACUCCAUGUGUAGCGGUGGAAUGCGUAGAUAUAUGGAAGAACACCAGUGGCGAAGGCGGCUUACUGGACUGCAACUGACGUUGAGGCUCGAAAGUGUGGGUAGCAAACAGGAUUAGAUACCCUGGUAGUCCACACCGUAAACGAUGAACACUAGGUGUUAGGAGGUUUCCGCCUCUUAGUGCCGAAGCUAACGCAUUAAGUGUUCCGCCUGGGGAGUACGACCGCAAGGUUGAAACUCAAAGGAAUUGACGGGGACCCGCACAAGCGGUGGAGCAUGUGGUUUAAUUCGAAGCAACGCGAAGAACCUUACCAGGUCUUGACAUCCUUUGAAGCUUUUAGAGAUAGAAGUGUUCUCUUCGGAGACAAAGUGACAGGUGGUGCAUGGUCGUCGUCAGCUCGUGUCGUGAGAUGUUGGGUUAAGUCCCGCAACGAGCGCAACCCUUAUUGUUAGUUGCCAGCAUUCAGAUGGGCACUCUAGCGAGACUGCCGGUGACAAACCGGAGGAAGGCGGGGACGACGUCAGAUCAUCAUGCCCCUUAUGACCUGGGCUACACACGUGCUACAAUGGCGUAUACAACGAGUUGCCAACCCGCGAGGGUGAGCUAAUCUCUUAAAGUACGUCUCAGUUCGGAUUGUAGUCUGCAACUCGACUACAUGAAGUCGGAAUCGCUAGUAAUCGCGGAUCAGCACGCCGCGGUGAAUACGUUCCCGGGUCUUGUACACACCGCCCGUCACACCAUGGGAGUUUGUAAUGCCCAAAGCCGGUGGCCUAACCUUUUAGGAAGGAGCCGUCUAAGGCAGGACAGAUGACUGGGGU